GACGAACGCUGGCGGCGUGCUUAACACAUGCAAGUCGAACGGAAAGGCCCUGCUUUUGUGGGGUGCUCGAGUGGCGAACGGGUGAGUAACACGUGAGUAACCUGCCCUUGACUUUGGGAUAACUUCAGGAAACUGGGGCUAAUACCGGAUAGGAGCUCCUGCUGCAUGGUGGGGGUUGGAAAGUUUCGGCGGUUGGGGAUGGACUCGCGGCUUAUCAGCUUGUUGGUGGGGUAGUGGCUUACCAAGGCUUUGACGGGUAGCCGGCCUGAGAGGGUGACCGGCCACAUUGGGACUGAGAUACGGCCCAGACUCCUACGGGAGGCAGCAGUGGGGAAUAUUGCACAAUGGGCGGAAGCCCGGUGCAGCAACGCCGCGUGCGGGAUGACGGCCUUCGGGUUGUAAACCGCUUUCGCCUGUGACGAAGCGUGAGUGACGGUAAUGGGUAAAGAAGCACCGGCUAACUACGUGCCAGCAGCCGCGGUGAUACGUAGGGUGCGAGCGUUGUCCGGAUUUAUUGGGCGUAAAGGGCUCGUAGGUGGUUGAUCGCGUCGGAAGUGUAAUCUUGGGGCUUAACCCUGAGCGUGCUUUCGAUACGGGUUGACUUGAGGAAGGUAGGGGAGAAUGGAAUUCCUGGUGGAGCGGUGGAAUGCGCAGAUAUCAGGAGGAACACCAGUGGCGAAGGCGGUUCUCUGGGCCUUUCCUGACGCUGAGGAGCGAAAGCGUGGGGAGCGAACAGGCUUAGAUACCCUGGUAGUCCACGCUGUAAACGGUGGGUACUAGGUGUGGGGUCCAUUCCACGGGUUCCGUGCCGUAGCUAACGCUUUAAGUACCCCGCCUGGGGAGUACGGCCGCAAGGCUAAAACUCAAAGGAAUUGACGGGGCCCCGCACAAGCGGCGGAGCAUGCGGAUUAAUUCGAUGCAACGCGUAGAACCUUACCUGGGUUUGACAUGGAUCGGGAGCGCUCAGAGAUGGGUGUGCCUCUUUUGGGGUCGGUUCACAGGUGGUGCAUGGCUGUCGUCAGCUCGUGUCGUGAGAUGUUGGGUUAAGUCCCGCAACGAGCGCAACCCUUGUUCACUGUUGCCAGCACGUUAUGGUGGGGACUCAGUGGAGACCGCCGGGGUCAACUCGGAGGAAGGUGGGGAUGACGUCAAGUCAUCAUGCCCCUUAUGUCCAGGGCUUCACGCAUGCUACAAUGGCUGGUACAGAGAGUGGCGAGCCUGUGAGGGUGAGCGAAUCUCGGAAAGCCGGUCUCAGUUCGGAUUGGGGUCUGCAACUCGACCUCAUGAAGUCGGAGUCGCUAGUAAUCGCAGAUCAGCAACGCUGCGGUGAAUACGUUCCCGGG
RNAcentral lists this ribosomal RNA (1343 nucleotides) under uncultured bacterium. RNAcentral's name for it is "16S ribosomal RNA". It matches the Rfam family "Bacterial small subunit ribosomal RNA", at positions 28 to 1378 of the family's 1533-position model. The record is from RNAcentral.